CCCAGACUCCUACGGGAGGCAGCAGUGAGGAAUAUUGGUCAAUGGCCGAAGGGCUGAACCAGCCAAGCCGCGUGAAGGAAUAAGGCCCUACGGGUCGUAAACUUCUUUAGUCAGGGAACAAAGGGAGCCACGCGUGGCGCUGUGAGUGUACCUGAAGAAUAAGCAUCGGCUAACUACGUGCCAGCAGCCGCGGUAAUACGUAGGGGGCGAGCGUUAUCCGGAUUUACUGGGUGUAAAGGGAGCGUAGACGGCGUCGCAAGUCUGAAGUGAAAGCCCGUGGCUCAACCGCGGAACCGCUUUGGAAACUGCGAGGCUGGAGUGCUGGAGAGGUAAGCGGAAUUCCUGGUGUAGCGGUGAAAUGCGUAGAUAUCAGGAGGAACACCGGUGGCGAAGGCGGCUUACUGGACAGUGACUGACGUUGAGGCUCGAAAGCGUGGGGAGCGAACAGGAUUAGAUACCCUCGUAU
RNAcentral lists this ribosomal RNA (466 nucleotides) under uncultured bacterium. RNAcentral's name for it is "bacterial SSU rRNA". It matches the Rfam family "Bacterial small subunit ribosomal RNA", at positions 330 to 793 of the family's 1533-position model. The record is from RNAcentral.